This 484-nucleotide ribosomal RNA is filed under the name uncultured bacterium. Its description in RNAcentral is "partial 16S ribosomal RNA". It matches the Rfam family "Bacterial small subunit ribosomal RNA", at positions 30 to 507 of the family's 1533-position model. The record is from RNAcentral.
AUUGAACGCUGGCGGCAGGCCUAACACAUGCAAGUCGAGCGGAUGAAGGGAGCUUGCUCCUGGAUUCAGCGGCGGACGGGUGAGUAAUGCCUAGGAAUCUGCCUGGUAGUGGGGGAUAACGUCCGGAAACGGGCGCUAAUACCGCAUACGUCCUGAGGGAGAAAGUGGGGGAUCUUCGGACCUCACGCUAUCAGAUGAGCCUAGGUCGGAUUAGCUAGUUGGUGGGGUAAAGGCCUACCAAGGCGACGAUCCGUAACUGGUCUGAGAGGAUGAUCAGUCACACUGGAACUGAGACACGGUCCAGACUCCUACGAGAGGCAGCAGUGGGGAAUAUUGGACAGUGGGCGGAAGCCUGAUCCAGCCAUGCCGCGUGUGUGAAGAAGGUCUUCGGAUUGUAAAGCACUUUAAGUUGGGAGGAAGGGCAGUAAGUUAAUACCUUGCUGUUUUGACGUUACCAACAGAAUAAGCACCGGCUAACUUCGUG